AGAGAGAAAAAGACAAGGACCGGGAUUAAAACGACACAAAAUCAGGUUCAUGGGAUAAGAGAACAAAAUAAAAAGGGAAAUUCUAUACAGUAGCCCUAAAUUUAUUUAAAUUACAUAUGAUAGCCAAAUUUAAGUUGGAUUACAUAUGGUCAGCCAUCAAAUAGAGUGUGCUUAGUUUAGGUGUCCUUAAUAGAUGCUUUUCAACAGGACUUAAAAUAGGAUUAGAUAAAGUUAAAAAGUUCUUGUUUAAGAAAAAAGAAAAACAGUUAGAAGCUCAUUGAAAACAUUACGUUAGUUUCCUUUGCCCUUCAUUUCACUUCAGACCUUUCAUCUCCUCCAUCUUUCUUCUUCCACUUUCUGCUCAUAUGUGUAAUCAAUCUCUUCAUUCAUUAUAUUGUGAUUCUGGUUCUACCAAAAUUGCAUCAUUGUCCUUAUUAAGUAAAGUUGCUGCUAAUUAGGUAUAAGAAGAGUUAUAAUGGCGAGGCUUGCCAUUAGAAGGCAAGUUUGUGAGGGGUGCGAAAUGGAUGACUUAUCCCCUAACAUCGUAAAGAGAGUGCAAAAACUAUGCCAAUAUUCGAGGUCAUGCAAAGCUUAUUUCUCUCUAGACAAGGUAGGUUUGAAGUGCAAGACCACGUCUGCAUGUGAGCUUAAGAAACAUGACUUGUGCUUGUAGUUUGUGGCAAAUAAGUGGAAUACCACGUAAGCAUGGUAUGAGAGCCAUCUUACAUGCCAAAGAAGAUCCACACAAGUAUGUGAGCAAUUGGUACGAUGUAGAGGUUUAUAAGAGAGCUUAAUCCCACAACAUCAAGUCAAUACCAGACCAAGAACAAUGGCCUGCCUAAAAUAACACUACCAAAGAUUGCUCCACCUGUGAUGAAGAAAGGGGAAAGAAGAACUUGUAAGAAUAGGGGGCAAGAAGACCUUGUAAGAAUAGGAAAAGAGCUGAAGAUGAGUAACCAAAAGGAAAAAGGUCAAAGACACUUAAAUUGCAGCAAUUGUCAAACAAAUGGGUCAUAAUGUUCUAACAUGCAAGGGUGGUCCAACAGCAAAGCAGAAGAACCAGAAGAACCAGAAGAACAAGGCUAAAGCUUCCUCCUCACCACCUGUUACUAAUGCCACAGUUCAAGAAGUGCGAGAAAGGAGAAGUGCACGACUGAAAAGGAGAAGUGCACGAUUGUUUUCAUCACAACCUGCUGGACAUUUGUGACUUAGUCAAUCCCAAGAACAUUACAUAAUAGCUGUGGUUUUUGUUGAUGCAUUUUGGAUCAAAAGUCUCCUAUAACUGCUAGUAGAUAAAUGGAUGGUACUUCUUUAUGAAACAUUUUCGUAUAGGUUACCUUUUGGAAUAUUUUAAUUUACUUAUGUAGUUUUUGUGCAGAGAAAACAUUUUGUAAUAUUGAGAUUGUGAGAUGUAAUAUAGUCUAGAAAUUGUCUUC
Beta vulgaris subsp. vulgaris (sugar beet) is the source of this 1436-nucleotide long non-coding RNA. RefSeq lists it as uncharacterized. The record is from RefSeq and is a predicted model, not a curated record. The transcript is spliced from 2 exons. NCBI's taxonomy places the organism in Eukaryota, Viridiplantae, Streptophyta, Magnoliopsida, Caryophyllales, Amaranthaceae.